GCCUCUGUAGCAUAGUAGUAUUGCGGCGGAUUCGUAAUCCGCAGGUCGCGUGUGCAACUCACGCCAGAGGCU
Molecule: transfer RNA, 72 nt
Filed under: Candidatus Woesearchaeota archaeon
Lineage: Archaea; Nanobdellati; Candidatus Woesearchaeota
Description: tRNA-Thr
Rfam family: tRNA
About the family: Transfer RNA (tRNA) molecules are approximately 80 nucleotides in length. Their secondary structure includes four short double-helical elements and three loops (D, anti-codon, and T loops).
Source: RNAcentral